UCCAUUGUUAAUUUUAAGACGUAUGCGAUUUGAUAGAUGGUUGUUUAAAAAUUUAAAUUUUUUGGCUUAUCGUGCAGGGAGGAAUGAGGCGGUCCAGAAGAGAGUAACUUGGAAGUGACUGAAGCUGAUCCUGAUUGCAAGACCAAGUACUGUUUGAUUUCUAAAAGAGAGGAAAUAGGAAAGAUGUCACAAGAUGGGUGAGUCACGAACUGCAAGAUGUAGUCACGAGAGGGAAGAUGUCACAAGAUGCAAGAGUCACGAGUUAAUUAUUUUUGUGUGUGUACUUGUUACUUGUUUUCGUGUAUGUUUGUCCGUUUGCUUUUGUAAAGUCUCUUGUAGAGUCACAAGAUGUGUCUGCUUGUGUCACAAGAUGUGUCUCCGUAUGUGUCUGCUUGUGUCACAAGAUGUAUGUGUUGAUUGCAUUCUAAAGUUUAUUUUGUACAGU
Brassica napus (rape) is the source of this 445-nucleotide long non-coding RNA. RefSeq lists it as uncharacterized. The record is from RefSeq and is a predicted model, not a curated record. The transcript is spliced from 2 exons. Lineage: Eukaryota; Viridiplantae; Streptophyta; Magnoliopsida; Brassicales; Brassicaceae.